RNAcentral lists this transfer RNA (84 nucleotides) under Cytophagales bacterium. Its description in RNAcentral is "tRNA-Leu". It matches the Rfam family "tRNA". Rfam says of the family: Transfer RNA (tRNA) molecules are approximately 80 nucleotides in length. Their secondary structure includes four short double-helical elements and three loops (D, anti-codon, and T loops). Further hydrogen bonds mediate the characteristic L-shaped molecular structure. tRNAs have two regions of fundamental functional importance: the anti-codon, which is responsible for specific mRNA codon recognition, and the 3' end, to which the tRNAs corresponding amino acid is attached (by aminoacyl-tRNA synthetases). tRNAs cope with the degeneracy of the genetic code in two manners: having more than one tRNA (with a specific anti-codon) for a particular amino acid; and 'wobble' base-pairing, i.e. permitting non-standard base-pairing at the 3rd anti-codon position. The record is from RNAcentral. Lineage: Bacteria; Pseudomonadati; Bacteroidota; Cytophagia; Cytophagales.
ACCGUUGUGCUGGAAUUGGUAGACAGGCUAGACUCAGGAUCUAGUGGGCGAAAGCCCGUGAGGGUUCGACUCCCUCCAAUGGUA